UUGGGGGAUCUGAGUCGAAGGCUGCAGCGGCGGCGGCUUGGGAGACUGGAGCAGCGGCGGCGGCUCGGGAGAUUAGAGCGUCGGCGGCGGUGGCGGCGGCGCGGCGGCUUCACGGGCUUGGGGACUGGAGCGGCGUCGACGGGGAGUGGCUGGGCCGCAAGAUUUUCCCCUUCCACCGCGAGAGAUUCCUGUGCUUGCAUGUUCUUAGCCGUUUCCAAAUCUUUGAGGGAUUCAACUGAUUUGCUGGAUGCCCAAACUUUGCUUCGUUUCCAAACUGAGUUGGUUUCUUUCAGACCAUAAGGCCACCAGGCGAUAAUGGAAUCUGAAGUUGAGGUGAAUACUGUUAUACCAUUGCAGACCCAUGACAUGCAGUCUGAUGCAGAAUCAACUACUCGAGUUAAUCCACGUCUCGAUAUAGGGUUUUUCACACCAACAAAAUCCACAAGCAUCCCCACAUGUGAUUCAUUCUACACACCAGAUUGUGAUGAAUCCAUAACUCCAACUAUUGGGAUGUAUUUUUCUGAUGUGAACACAGCAAAGGGGUUCUAUGAGG
Long non-coding RNA from Triticum aestivum (bread wheat), 553 nucleotides. RefSeq lists it as uncharacterized. The record is from RefSeq and is a predicted model, not a curated record. The transcript is spliced from 3 exons. NCBI's taxonomy places the organism in Eukaryota, Viridiplantae, Streptophyta, Magnoliopsida, Poales, Poaceae.